Molecule: non-coding RNA, 73 nt
Organism: Trichonephila clavipes
Lineage: Eukaryota; Metazoa; Arthropoda; Arachnida; Araneae; Nephilidae
Source: the annotation of a GenBank genome assembly
GUACCUGUAGCGCAAUGGAUCGCGCGUUGAACUUCUCAUUCAAAAAUCAUGGGUUCGAAUGCCACCUGAUAUU